GAAGGGGAGCUAGCGUUGUUCGGAAUCACUGGGCGUAAAGCGCACGUAGGGCGGAUUUGUUAGUCAGGGGGGGUGAAAUCCCGGGGGCUCAACCUCGGAACUGCCUUUGAUACUGCAAGUCUGGAGUCCGGAAGAGGUGGGUGGAAUUCCCUAGUGUAGAGGUGAAAUUCUUAGAUAUUAGGAAGAACACCGGUGGCGAAGGCGGCCCACUGGUCCGGUACUGACGCUGAGGUGCGAAAGCGUGGGGAGCAAACAGGGAUUAGAUACCCUGGUAGUCCACGCCGUAAACGAUGGAUGCUAGCCGUCGGCAAGCUUGGCUUGUCGGUGGCGCAGCUAACGCAUUAAGCAUCCCGCCUGGGGAGUACGGCCGCAAGGUUAA
This 379-nucleotide ribosomal RNA is filed under the name uncultured organism. RNAcentral describes it as "partial 16S ribosomal RNA". It matches the Rfam family "Bacterial small subunit ribosomal RNA", at positions 526 to 897 of the family's 1533-position model. The record is from RNAcentral.